GACGAAGGAUGCAAGCGUUAUCCGGAUUCAUUGGGUUUAAAGGGUGCGUAGGCGGACCGAUAAGUCAGUGGUGAAAUCUCUCAGCUUAACUGAGAAACUGCCAUUGAUACUGUCAGUCUAGAGUAUAGAUGAUGUGGGCGGAAUAUGACAUGUAGUGGUGAAAUACUUAGAUAUGUCAUAGAACACCGAUUGCGAAGGCAGCUCACAAAACUAUAACUGACGCUGAGGCACGAAAGUGCGGGGAUCAAACAGG
RNAcentral lists this ribosomal RNA (253 nucleotides) under uncultured bacterium. RNAcentral describes it as "partial 16S ribosomal RNA". It matches the Rfam family "Bacterial small subunit ribosomal RNA", at positions 524 to 776 of the family's 1533-position model. The record is from RNAcentral.